AGAGGCUCCGAGAAACGCACUUUUAAAUAAGAAAAUCGAACAGUUUGAUGGCGCCCUCGCUCCCUCUUCUCGCAGCCACCCUUGUGACACUCGAACGUUAUGGCCCCCUUUACAGGUGCCGGAUGGGGACUCGGAUCCUAUAAAGUCUGUUCGGCUGCAGUGGGGAGUCAGUGAGGCCGGCGAGGGAGCCCGGGGUGCGCACACGAUCCUCUGGGCAAGCUGGAGGAUUUGGGGACACUCGGAAGGGGCCGGGGGCUGGGGCUGGGGCCGGGGCAGGACUCUCCAGGUUCCCGAGCCUCUGCGCCUCGGAGAGCAGGCAGGACGGCCAGGCCAGGCGAUGGCAGGCCCCUCAGGGUCGCUGCACCCAGCUGGGAGGGGUGGGAGGGCUCCCCGACAGCUUCGGAAGGUUUGGAUUCAUUUUAAUGAAGAAAACCAUCUCCGUCCUAGUGAGCAGAGAUUGGAGAUUGCCCCCGUUUUUCCUGCACGGAAUCAUCUGGGGCUUAGCGUCCACGUUUACUGGAUAUCUCUUAGGUGCCUGGAGCGCUUGUCAGAUUCUGGAACCAGCCCAAACCAACAAAAGCCACCCGCGUCCCGGCGGAAGUCCAGCGCACAGUGGCCACUGAGUGCCCCUGGAAGCACCACCAAGCCCAGGAAAGCCCCACGACCACCACGCCCCGAGCUGUCCCCUGCACGUGGAUCUUCCCCGAUCUCCUAGUGGAAGUGCUUGCUGCAGACAUCAGUUGGGGGUCCUUGUCGCUUUCUUACAGGGCUGUUCAGGACAGCCAUGCUGCCACUGAACUGGCUUUCAGGGAUUCUUGAUGAAAUCACCCCGAGUCUCCAACUUGGGUUCUACCCCAAACCACAUGGUCUCCACUGUGGGAGUGCCACCAGCACCGAGGCCUCCAACUGCAGGCCUACAAAGACGGAGCAGCAGAAGACAUCUGCCACCAUCUUCUUGGCGCUUCAGAUAUCUUCAUGUUCAAAGGAGCCACUUAAACUCAACCUUCACCCACCACUUCCAUCACCUGUGACCUGGCCUCCCUAUCCAAUCUGCUCCCUGAUGAUCACUGGCAUCUUGUUUCUCUCUUGCUCAAAAGUCUUCACCAGUUUCUCAUACAAGAUCCAAUUCAAACUCCACAGCCUUGACACCUCACAUCCAGAACCCUUCCGGCACCCUCUGUCCACUCCAAGCUGGCCCUUUCUCUAACUCAUCCUUGUGGCCUCCCUGCCAGGCCUUUGCUCUUAAGAACACCCCACAUAUUAGACCCUCCUUGCUAUUCUC
This 1282-nucleotide long non-coding RNA is filed under the name Ictidomys tridecemlineatus (thirteen-lined ground squirrel). Its description in RNAcentral is "lncRNA (ENSSTOG00000029419.1)". Lineage: Eukaryota; Metazoa; Chordata; Mammalia; Rodentia; Sciuridae. The record is from RNAcentral.